AUGGGUUGGACCACAUUUGAAAAUGGGCAAGAAUGGGCUUUACUGUUCUCCACGGUCUCAGAUUUGGGUUGGAAAGAUUCCUGUGAGUCUGAAUGUAACGUGUCUGUCCUUUUGUGGUCCACACAGGUGUACCACGGGCGGUGGUGGCCGUGCGGGCUCGCCCGCCGUGGGGCAGCCUGGCGUCCCUCCGCGUCUCACACUCACGGGAAAUCGGGUCCGCACAGGCGACCUCUCCUUGGGGCGGGCGUCUCAGCCAGGAGGCCCAGCGCCUGGGAUGUCUCUGUGCCCGGCUGUCUCUUUACUUUGUGUUUUCACCUGCGUGGCUGUGUGGCUGGUGCGGAUUGGUGCCUGCGGGUUCUAGGCUGCAGGAGCCCAGCGGUGGGCAGGGUGGGGUGCAUCGCAGCCCAAGGUGAACCGGCACCUGUCCUCUGUGGGUGUGGCUUCUGUGUCACGCAUCUCCUGGCUUUGCCACCAGAGGCUUGGGGUUGGUUUCUUUGGUCUCAAGGUUGGGGACCCCUGGAAGAGGACCCCUUGUCCACCCAGAAGAAGCAAGCGGCCCUUCUGAGAGUAGCAGGGAGGCGGGGCUGUGACAUGCAUAAAGCUCCGCCUGCGGCCAGGCCCCUCCUGAGUCCGACAUGGCCCAGGCGUCGCCUGGAAGGAGGAGGAGGCGGCCUGGGCGUGGGGGCCCCAGCCCUCUCCUCACAGCCUCUUCCUGCACAGACCCCUGCAAGUGUGCAGGGAAUGUGGGCACCGCCUGGGGAGCUGACCAGCUCCCUUGACCUCAAUGGGGGUCGGGUCUCAUCCAGGCCUGGUGGAGCUCCCCUGUCAGGGGCAGAGACAUGGGUUGGACCACAUUUGAAAAUGGGCAAGAAUGGGCUUUACUGUUCUCCACGGUCUCAGAUUUGGGUUGGAAAGAUUCCUGUGAGUCUGAAUGUAACGUGUCUGUCCUUUGUGGUCCACACGAGUGACCUAAGUCAGGGCAACGAGGAGGUGGGUGGGUGGACACGGGCCUGGGGCUGUUGCCCGCGCCGCCUCCCUGAGGCAGGGCUCUGGGAUGAAGCGUGCGGGUCUCCACAUUUUCAGAGAACAGUAAGCAAGGCAACAACGGCGUGUGCGUCUUGCUUUCUUGAAACAUCGAGGACUGAUGGGAGUGGCCCCAGGGUGGCCCCAGGGUGGCCAGUUGUUGCUGAGUUUAACGUUCGUUUAGAAGAUGUUUCAGGCGAGAGGCUGUCUGCAGGGCCUCCGUGGCGUCUGAACGUGUGUGUGUGUGUCUUCUCAGGGUGUGGUAACUGCCGCCACCAGCCUCAUCACCACCUUGGCACAGAAGAACCGGAAGAGUUCAAGACCUCUGUGUCUCUGGCCGUCUCCAGGUUAAGCAGAAUCGUGACGCCGGCCUCCACGGACCUUCAGGAUUACACCUACUACUUUGUCCCGGCCCCUGGCUGUCGGUCAAGCUCCUGCGGCUCCUGCAGUGCUACCCGCCCCAGGUAA
RNAcentral lists this long non-coding RNA (1491 nucleotides) under Bos grunniens (domestic yak). RNAcentral's name for it is "lncRNA (ENSBGRG00000023321.1)". Lineage: Eukaryota; Metazoa; Chordata; Mammalia; Artiodactyla; Bovidae. The record is from RNAcentral.